RNAcentral lists this microRNA (21 nucleotides) under Ananas comosus (pineapple). Its description in RNAcentral is "microRNA s0176_c069". Lineage: Eukaryota; Viridiplantae; Streptophyta; Magnoliopsida; Poales; Bromeliaceae. The record is from RNAcentral.
ACCCUAUAAUUUUUCAUCCAA